Molecule: ribosomal RNA, 666 nt
Filed under: Triticum aestivum (bread wheat)
Lineage: Eukaryota; Viridiplantae; Streptophyta; Magnoliopsida; Poales; Poaceae
Description: partial small subunit ribosomal RNA
Source: RNAcentral
AUGGAGGGCAUUAAUGCCAUAAUGUCAAAUUGUCUUGUGAAGUUAUCAGAGCAGCAACUGCUUGACUGUGUUACCUGUUCUUCCGAUGGUUGUGAGGGAGGUCGUGUAGUUCCAGCUUUCAGGUACCUUCAUAGGAAUGGAGGGCAAGUUUUGAAUGAUGUCUACCCAUACACAGCUGAAGUGAACACUGUCCACAAAAGAGUAAUUGCACCUGCAGUAUCUAUUGACGGCUUUGCUUUUACCUAUGGUGGUACCGAAAAAAAACUGAAGGUGGCUGUAGCAUCACAGCCAGUGGUGGUUGCUUUAGGGGCAGAUAAGGCAUUUGUGGAAUAUGAUGGUGGUGUUGUGGAUAGCAAGAACUAUACCCUUGCUGAACUGUCGACAAUUAAGUUCAGGGGUUCAUAUAUUGGGCACUACGUUACUGUUGUAGGUUAUGGGAUAACAGAGUUUGGUGAGCUUUUUUGGCUUGUCAAAAAUUCACGCGGGGCAAAUUAUGGUGAAGAUGGGUAUAUCAGGAUCGCAAGGGAAACUGGCAAGGAGGGAGGUGCUUUUGGGAUUGCCAGGUUCUUCGCGUAUCCAGUCAAGAAAAAUGGGAAGAAUAACAGAAGGUGCAUGGUGAGGUCUGAGGCUGAGCUGUAUGGUUGCAAGUGUAUUCACUGGAUAUGA